GCUUAAAGGGGCCGUAGCUCGAUAAUAGGGUCCCUUGAGAAAUCCGCCGGCUUAACUGGCGGGCGUUCAGGGGAAACUUGUUUUCUAGGGACCGGGAGAGGUGAGGGGUACUGCCGGGGUAGGAGUGAAAUCCUGUAAUCCCGGUGGGACCACCUAUGGCGAAGGCAUCUCACCAGAACGGGUCCGACAGUGAGGGACGAAAGCUGGGGGAGCAAACCGGAUUAGAUACCCGGGUAGUCCCAGCUGUAAACUAUGUGCGUUAGGUGUGUCAGUGACCACGUGUCACUGAGGUGCCGAAGGGAAACCGUGAAACGCACCGCCUGGGGAGUACGGUCGCAAGGCUGAAACUUAAAGGAAUUGGCGGGGGAGCACCACAACGGGUGGAGCCUGCGGUUUAAUCGGACUCAACGCCGGGAAUCUCACCGGAUAAGACAGCUGAAUGAUAGUCGGGAUGAAGACUCUACUUGACUAGCUGAGAGGAGGUGCAUGGCCGUCGUCAGUUCGUACUGUGAAGCAUCCUGUUUAGUCAGGCAACGAGCGAGACCCACGCGAGCAGUUGCCAGCUUGACCUUCGGGUUGAUGGGGACACUGCUCGGACCGCCUCUGCUAAAGGGGAGGAAGGACUGGGCAACGGUAGGUCAGCAUGCCCCGAAUUAUCCGGGCUACACGCGGGCUACAAUGGACAGGACAAUGAGUUUCGACACCGAGAGGUGAGGAUAAUCUUCUAACCCUGUCCCAAGUUCGGAUUGCGGGUUGUAACUCACCCGCAUGAAGCUGGAAUCCGUAGUAAUCGCGUUUCAACAUACCGCGGUGAAUAUGUCCCUGCUCCUUGCACACACCGCC
RNAcentral lists this ribosomal RNA (843 nucleotides) under uncultured prokaryote. RNAcentral's name for it is "bacterial SSU rRNA". It matches the Rfam family "Archaeal small subunit ribosomal RNA", at positions 508 to 1350 of the family's 1478-position model. The record is from RNAcentral.